GGGUUGUGAGGUUAAGCGACUAAGCGUACACGGUGGAUGCCCUGGCAGUCAGAGGCGAUGAAGGACGUGCUAAUCUGCGAUAAGCGUCGGUAAGGUGAUAUGAACCGUUAUAACCGGCGAUUUCCGAAUGGGGAAACCCAGUGUGAUUCGUCACACUAUCAUUAACUGAAUCCAUAGGUUAAUGAGGCGAACCGGGGGAACUGAAACAUCUAAGUACCCCGAGGAAAAGAAAUCAACCGAGAUUCCCCCAGUAGCGGCGAGCGAACGGGGAGCAGCCCAGAGCCUGAAUCAGUGUGUGUGUUAGUGGAAGCGUCUGGAAAGGCGCGCGAUACAGGGUGACAGCCCCGUACACAAAAAUGCACAUGCUGUGAGCUCGAUGAGUAGGGCGGGACACGUGGUAUCCUGUCUGAAUAUGGGGGGACCAUCCUCCAAGGCUAAAUACUCCUGACUGACCGAUAGUGAACCAGUACCGUGAGGGAAAGGCGAAAAGAACCCCGGCGAGGGGAGUGAAAAAGAACCUGAAACCGUGUACGUACAAGCAGUGGGAGCCUCUUUUAUGGGGUGACUGCGUACCUUUUGUAUAAUGGGUCAGCGACUUAUAUUCUGUAGCAAGGUUAACCGAAUAGGGGAGCCGAAGGGAAACCGAGUCUUAACUGGGCGUUAAGUUGCAGGGUAUAGACCCGAAACCCGGUGAUCUAGCCAUGGGCAGGUUGAAGGUUGGGUAACACUAACUGGAGGACCGAACCGACUAAUGUUGAAAAAUUAGCGGAUGACUUGUGGCUGGGGGUGAAAGGCCAAUCAAACCGGGAGAUAGCUGGUUCUCCCCGAAAGCUAUUUAGGUAGCGCCUCGUGAAUUCAUCUCCGGGGGUAGAGCACUGUUUCGGCAAGGGGGUCAUCCCGACUUACCAACCCGAUGCAAACUGCGAAUACCGGAGAAUGUUAUCACGGGAGACACACGGCGGGUGCUAACGUCCGUCGUGAAGAGGGAAACAACCCAGACCGCCAGCUAAGGUCCCAAAGUCAUGGUUAAGUGGGAAACGAUGUGGGAAGGCCCAGACAGCCAGGAUGUUGGCUUAGAAGCAGCCAUCAUUUAAAGAAAGCGUAAUAGCUCACUGGUCGAGUCGGCCUGCGCGGAAGAUGUAACGGGGCUAAACCAUGCACCGAAGCUGCGGCAGCGACACUGUGUGUUGUUGGGUAGGGGAGCGUUCUGUAAGCCUGUGAAGGUGUGCUGUGAGGCAUGCUGGAGGUAUCAGAAGUGCGAAUGCUGACAUAAGUAACGAUAAAGCGGGUGAAAAGCCCGCUCGCCGGAAGACCAAGGGUUCCUGUCCAACGUUAAUCGGGGCAGGGUGAGUCGACCCCUAAGGCGAGGCCGAAAGGCGUAGUCGAUGGGAAACAGGUUAAUAUUCCUGUACUUGGUGUUACUGCGAAGGGGGGACGGAGAAGGCUAUGUUGGCCGGGCGACGGUUGUCCCGGUUUAAGCGUGUAGGCUGGUUUUCCAGGCAAAUCCGGAAAAUCAAGGCUGAGGCGUGAUGACGAGGCACUACGGUGCUGAAGCAACAAAUGCCCUGCUUCCAGGAAAAGCCUCUAAGCAUCAGGUAACAUCAAAUCGUACCCCAAACCGACACAGGUGGUCAGGUAGAGAAUACCAAGGCGCUUGAGAGAACUCGGGUGAAGGAACUAGGCAAAAUGGUGCCGUAACUUCGGGAGAAGGCACGCUGAUAUGUAGGUGAAGCGACUUGCUCGUGGAGCUGAAAUCAGUCGAAGAUACCAGCUGGCUGCAACUGUUUAUUAAAAACACAGCACUGUGCAAACACGAAAGUGGACGUAUACGGUGUGACGCCUGCCCGGUGCCGGAAGGUUAAUUGAUGGGGUUAGCGCAAGCGAAGCUCUUGAUCGAAGCCCCGGUAAACGGCGGCCGUAACUAUAACGGUCCUAAGGUAGCGAAAUUCCUUGUCGGGUAAGUUCCGACCUGCACGAAUGGCGUAAUGAUGGCCAGGCUGUCUCCACCCGAGACUCAGUGAAAUUGAACUCGCUGUGAAGAUGCAGUGUACCCGCGGCAAGACGGAAAGACCCCGUGAACCUUUACUAUAGCUUGACACUGAACAUUGAGCCUUGAUGUGUAGGAUAGGUGGGAGGCUUUGAAGUGUGGACGCCAGUCUGCAUGGAGCCGACCUUGAAAUACCACCCUUUAAUGUUUGAUGUUCUAACGUUGGCCCCUAAUCGGGGUUGCGGACAGUGUCUGGUGGGUAGUUUGACUGGGGCGGUCUCCUCCUAAAGAGUAACGGAGGAGCACGAAGGUUGGCUAAUCCUGGUCGGACAUCAGGAGGUUAGUGCAAUGGCAUAAGCCAGCUUGACUGCGAGCGUGACGGCGCGAGCAGGUGCGAAAGCAGGUCAUAGUGAUCCGGUGGUUCUGAAUGGAAGGGCCAUCGCUCAACGGAUAAAAGGUACUCCGGGGAUAACAGGCUGAUACCGCCCAAGAGUUCAUAUCGACGGCGGUGUUUGGCACCUCGAUGUCGGCUCAUCACAUCCUGGGGCUGAAGUAGGUCCCAAGGGUAUGGCUGUUCGCCAUUUAAAGUGGUACGCGAGCUGGGUUUAGAACGUCGUGAGACAGUUCGGUCCCUAUCUGCCGUGGGCGCUGGAGAACUGAGGGGGGCUGCUCCUAGUACGAGAGGACCGGAGUGGACGCAUCACUGGUGUUCGGGUUGUCAUGCCAAUGGCACUGCCCGGUAGCUAAAUGCGGAAGAGAUAAGUGCUGAAAGCAUCUAAGCACGAAACUUGCCCCGAGAUGAGUUCUCCCUGACUCCUUGAGAGUCCUGAAGGAACGUUGAAGACGACGACGUUGAUAGGCCGGGUGUGUAAGCGCAGCGAUGCGUUGAGCUAACCGGUACUAAUGAACCGUGAGGCUUAACCUUACAACGCCGAAG
RNAcentral lists this ribosomal RNA (2924 nucleotides) under Escherichia coli. Its description in RNAcentral is "bacterial LSU rRNA". It matches the Rfam family "Bacterial large subunit ribosomal RNA". The record is from RNAcentral. Lineage: Bacteria; Pseudomonadati; Pseudomonadota; Gammaproteobacteria; Enterobacterales; Enterobacteriaceae.